Molecule: long non-coding RNA, 657 nt
Filed under: Panax ginseng (ginseng)
Lineage: Eukaryota; Viridiplantae; Streptophyta; Magnoliopsida; Apiales; Araliaceae
Description: long non-coding RNA (PGIN_LNC001184)
Source: RNAcentral
AAUUGACGGCAAGCGGAGAGGCCCAUCAACUAUAUAAUAUGAGUUUUUGGGUGUAAUUUAUCACAUGUGGUAUUAUGAAUCUCAACGCAAUAAUGGAGUAGUCUAGUCCAUGUGAAAAAGACGCGUUAACUAUAACAAUUCAUUAGACGAAAAAGAAUAAUUCUAGACAUGAACAUAAUAAUGGAGUCGUCUAGUUCAUCAAAAUCUACAGGUUACAAACUUUACAUCAUGAAAAAUUCAAAUAGUAAUUCCCAAUAUAACCUCAUAAUACCCCCGUUAACACUCACCUAUACUAUCAUUCACAAGGGUAGAAAAGGCUAAUUGAUUUGAGCUACUGUACUCCAUGGCAAAUGACAGAGUGCAAGAAGUGAGCACGGUUUGAUAUCUGAUAUAUCAACACUUCAAAGCUCUAACAAACUCUUGUUUUCUUCAUGGAGGCAUGUAGAACCAUAGCCUAAGAACUUUAACAGUUGAGCAAGCCAUGAGAGCGACCACCCGGAUCGAAGAGGCAAAAAACCUUAUAUAGGAUGCUAGGCUAAGGACUUUUUACACCAGAUGAUAGUGUAGUCUUUCCAUUAUGAGAAAGAAAGCAUCUAUAUAUAAAUCAUACUGACUAUAAUAAGUUAAAUGAUAAAGACGGACACUGACAGGAGAUGA